AGCGUAAAUACGGUGGUAAAUUCCAUCUAAAGCUAAACACUAGUGGGAGACCGAUAGCGCACAAGUACCGUGAGGGAAAGAUGCAAAGCCGCGCGAAAGCGCUGUUAAAGAGUACCUGAACUUGCUGAGAAGGAAGCAAAAGAAAUCAGUGGAAGCUGUGCUACAAUUC
RNAcentral lists this ribosomal RNA (169 nucleotides) under uncultured Symbiodinium. RNAcentral describes it as "partial Eukaryotic large subunit ribosomal RNA". It matches the Rfam family "Eukaryotic large subunit ribosomal RNA", at positions 284 to 452 of the family's 3401-position model. Lineage: Eukaryota; Dinophyceae; Suessiales; Symbiodiniaceae. The record is from RNAcentral.